Molecule: ribosomal RNA, 371 nt
Filed under: uncultured organism
Description: partial 16S ribosomal RNA
Rfam family: Bacterial small subunit ribosomal RNA
Source: RNAcentral
GUAGGUGGCAAGCGUUGUCCGGAAUUAUUGGGCGUAAAGCGCGCGCAGGCGGUUCUUUAAGUCUGAUGUGAAAGCCCACGGGCUCAACCGUGGAGGGUCAUUGGAAACUGGAGAACUUGAGUACAGAAGAGGAAAGCGGAAUUCCACGUGUAGCGGUGAAAUGCGUAGAGAUGUGGAGGAACACCAGUGGCGAAGGCGGCUUUCUGGUCUGUAACUGACGCUGAGGCGCGAAAGCGUGGGGAGCAAACAGGAUUAGAUACCCUGGUAGCCACGCCGUAAACGAUGAGUGCUAAGUGUUAGGGGGUUUCCGCCCUUUAGUGCUGCAGCCAACGCAUUAAGCACUCCGCCUGGGGAGUACGGCCGCAAGGCUG